GGAAAAGUAAAGAAAGAACCUGAAGAAAAGAAAGGGAAAGGAACUAAACAUAAUGGUGUACCUUGUGGCAGAUGAAGGUCUUCUUUGUUAAUUACUUAACUCUUCGAGCCCUUUGAUGCAAACAUCUCCAUCCACAAGCCAGGUGGGAUGAGAAAUAAUUGGUUUAAUGUAUAGCAACAUACCCUUGGAGUAGGUGUAACCAAAGACUGUAGGAGAGCCGUGUGUCCUGGAAGGAACAAGGAAGGAGAUUACAGCAUUGUCUUCACUGAAGACUUUUCAGAGCAGAUGAGAGGGCAUAGGCAAUGGCCAAGCACCUCUCAGGACAUCUCUGAUCUUCUUCAUGAGCCAAACCAUUGGACUGGGAAGAGACUACGUGACUGUAUGGUCCAUUCCUCCUCCCCAAAGCACAUCUAAUUACAAAGUAUUAAUGUGUGUCAGGAAGCAAUGCAACAGUUAUUAAAAUAACUCCACAAAAUAGGAAAUAAUACUUCUGUGAGUCAUGGGAGGUUACAGCAAUACAGUGCUCUGUAGGUCACCAGUUUGCCCAUAUUAACCUGCAGCGUGGAGUUAAACCAAAAGAGAUGACAGAAAAAGAGUCGAGCUGGGAUAAAACUGCAGAUGAGGACAAGCCAUCUGCAGGGACAAGAUGAGCCCUUUCCCCCUUCAGGAGAUGAGCAUUGGCCUGGGGGUGAAUACCUGCCUUCCAGAGCUUCAGGUCUGAUUCUUGGCAAACAUCAUGGAAGCUGUCAGGAGGUGAGGUUCAGCUUCAGAGAGUGCUAUGAGACUGAGAGAGAUGCUGGGGGUCAGGACAGCACCAAAAGGUACUGUCACCGGAAACCAAGAGUAUAAAGUGGAACUUGGUCAUGGCCUCAAUAAAUGCUAGAUACAGACACAGUGUGGAUUUUGUCAGCAAGAAGGUGGUGAAUGCAAAGAGCCUGAGUUUACUGACUGUGAGAUGUAAACUGUUUGCUCUUGAGGAAGAGGAUGGUUCAUUAGUUCCUGUAAACCUGGGCACAAACAGACCCGGAACAUCCCUGUCAGGGCACAGGAAGGCUCAGUGGGACAACAUGAACCCCUCCCCCCAGGCAGAGGAUGGAAGAUGGCCUCAACCCCAUGUUCUUCAUCACACUUGUUUCUCG
Molecule: long non-coding RNA, 1139 nt
Filed under: Gallus gallus (chicken)
Lineage: Eukaryota; Metazoa; Chordata; Aves; Galliformes; Phasianidae
Description: lncRNA (ENSGALG00010010553.1)
Source: RNAcentral